GGUGAAAAGCACCCCGGAAGGGGAGUGAAAUAGAACCUGAAACCGUGUGCUUACAAGUAGUCAGAGCCCGUUAAUGGGUGAUGGCGUGCCUUUUGUAGAAUGAACCGGCGAGUUACGAUUUGAUGCAAGGUUAAGCAGUAAAUGUGGAGCCGUAGCGAAAGCGAGUCUGAAUAGGGCGUUUAGUAUUUGGUCGUAGACCCGAAACCAGGUGAUCUACCCUUGGUCAGGUUGAAGUUCAGGUAACACUGAAUGGAGGACCGAACCGACUUACGUUGAAAAGUGAGCGGAUGAACUGAGGGUAGCGGAGAAAUUCCAAUCGAACCUGGAGAUAGCUGGUUCUCUCCGAAAUAGCUUUAGGGCUAGCCUCAAGUGAUGAUUAUUGGAGGUAGAGCACUGUUUGGACGAGGGGCCCCUCUCGGGUUACCGAAUUCAGACAAACUCCGAAUGCCAAUUAAUUUAACUUGGGAGUCAGAACAUGGGUGAUAAGGUCCGUGUUCGAAAGGGAAACAGCCCAGACCACCAGCUAAGGUCCCAAAAUAUAUGUUAAGUGGAAAAGGAUGUGGCGUUGCCCAGACAACUAGGAUGUUGGCUUAGAAGCAGCCAUCAUUUAAAGAGUGCGUAAUAGCUCACUAGUCGAGUGACACUGCGCCGAAAAUGUACCGGGGCUAAACAUAUUACCGAAGCUGUGGAUUGUCCUUUGGACAAUGGUAGGAGAGCGUUCUAAGGGCGUUGAAGCAUGAUCGUAAGGACAUGUGGAGCGCUUAGAAGUGAGAAUGCCGGUGUGAGUAGCGAAAGACGGGUGAGAAUCCCGUCCACCGAUUGACUAAGGUUUCCAGAGGAAGGCUCGUCCGCUCUGGGUUAGUCGGGUCCUAAGCUGAGGCCGACAGGCGUAGGCGAUGGAUAACAGGUUGAUAUUCCUGUACCACCUAUAAUCGUUUUAAUCGAUGGGGGGACGCAGUAGGAUAGGCGAAGCGUGCGAUUGGAUUGCACGUCUAAGCAGUAAGGCUGAGUAUUAGGCAAAUCCGGUACUCAUUAAGGCUGAGCUGUGAUGGGGAGAAGACAUUGUGUCUUCGAGUCGUUGAUUUCACACUGCCGAG
RNAcentral lists this ribosomal RNA (1097 nucleotides) under Staphylococcus aureus. Its description in RNAcentral is "partial 23S ribosomal RNA". It matches the Rfam family "Bacterial large subunit ribosomal RNA", at positions 513 to 1612 of the family's 2925-position model. The record is from RNAcentral. Lineage: Bacteria; Bacillati; Bacillota; Bacilli; Caryophanales; Staphylococcaceae.